GUCUACGGCCAUACCAUCCUGAACGUGCCUGUUCUUGUCUGAUCUCGGAAGCUAAGCGGGGUCGGGCCUGGUUAGUACUUGGAUGGGAAACCACCUAGGAAGACCAAGUGCUAUAGGCA
Molecule: ribosomal RNA, 119 nt
Filed under: Pteropus alecto (black flying fox)
Lineage: Eukaryota; Metazoa; Chordata; Mammalia; Chiroptera; Pteropodidae
Source: RNAcentral